UUCAAAGUCUGUGACUUCUGUUAAAUUUUGAAAACUGGUAUGCAAUGCGCGACAUUCUUUAACGCGAUUAAAUGUUGAUAAAAGAUUUCUCGCCGGUCGAAACAUGUUAAUUCUUACAGAAACAGAAACACAUUCAAAUCAUUUAUAGAAUUCGGUACUCGGCAUGUUAAGCUCAACUAACCUAACCAUGAUAAAUUCUGACUUUGUUUGAAACGAUCAUUUAUACGUUUGAAAAUUCCUACACAAAUAUCGUAGUUUCUUUCGUUUUUUGAUAAUGAAAAAUAAAAUUAGUUUAAUAUUUAUUGACACAGAUUAAUUAAUCUAUCACUGCCAAUUCAGAUACUCAGAGAGACACACAACUUUGCAACUAUGAGGAAAAAUGAUGCAACUCAAACACAACUAUACUUAUCACUAUAUACUUACAAAGAUAGAAAGCUAUUAUUUCGUUCUAAGCGCUGAGAAGAUGUUGGUAUCAAUUAAUACUGAUAUUCUUGGAAACAGGUGAAGGCAGACUCAACUGCAGCUGCAGCUGAUUUAUCUUUGCCAGAAUAUCGACAUGGAAAGGCAGUUGUGAUUGAUAAAUCUAUAAUUAAGGAAGGACUGCAUUCUAGUUUUGAUAGCCACAGACUUCCUUGUCUGUUAAAUGGCAAUGUAAAUCUACUAACAAAGCUGCUGUAGUAGUUAUUGUUACCAAAAAGGGUUGUAUUUUACCCAAGGUACUGAAGGAAGUAAGUUCUACCAUGGUACUCAUGUCCCUAAAACACAUAGUACUGUUAAUGUAGUUUUAAGAAACGUAUAUCUUAUUAUUACUUCUUACAUGGCGUGACUCCUUAUUCCAAGAUUUGCAUGCUUCACUGGUACUCUUACUACUUGCACUGGAGGACUGGCAUGAAUCUUCUCAGGACUUUCUUCCAUAGGCUCCGCAGUUGUUGUUUCCAUUUUAGCUUUUUUAUUUACCAGUAUACAAAUCAAAUGGAUAGAAUAGGCAUUAACUAGUUUAUUAAUAUCAUAUCAUAAUUAAUAACUACAAAAUACACUACAUUGCACAAUCAUAAUACGUAAAAUUUAACUAAGCAUUAGAAGAAGUAUGUAAAUACUGUAUAAUAGUCAUCAUUCUGUGUAUUAUUGCUCAAAACCUAACUGAACCUCAUAUACACUAUUAUUAUUGA
This is a non-coding RNA of Nomia melanderi (Alkali bee), 1169 nucleotides long. NCBI's taxonomy places the organism in Eukaryota, Metazoa, Arthropoda, Insecta, Hymenoptera, Halictidae. The record is from RefSeq and is a predicted model, not a curated record.